Molecule: long non-coding RNA, 2008 nt
Organism: Nannospalax galili (Upper Galilee mountains blind mole rat)
Lineage: Eukaryota; Metazoa; Chordata; Mammalia; Rodentia; Spalacidae
Exons: 3
Source: RefSeq, a predicted model, not a curated record
CGGGGGCGGGGGACGCAACCCGGGAGCGUCCGGCAGGUGACUGACUGAGCCACAGUCGAGUGCGCGUGCCAGGCCCCGUCCCGUGCGUCGGCCGAGGCGGAAGAGCCGAGCGGAGGCCCCGCCUGACCCGCGAGACAGGUCGAAGCCGGUACCGGAGCGGAGGCGCGUGGAGCCGGCAGGAGCGCGGGAGCCAUGGUCCUCAACGGUCGAGCCCGAGGGAGCAGCACAGCAGCCGAGAAGCAACCGCCGCCCCCGCGGAGACGCCGCAGCACCGCGGAGUCAGGUAUGCAACACGGGACAAGAUGGUGGAGUGCCAGCCGGAAACGCAUAACCACAAGAUGGUGACCUUCAAGUUUGACUUGGAUGGGGACGCUCCUGAUGAGAUCGCCACAUACAUGAGGAAAAGGCAAAACCUGAGAUGACCUGGAGGAGCAAAGGGAAGCUGCAUCACCAGCCUCUCGUGCCCUGUGUCCCUGCGUAGAACUUCUGUCACCCUCCUCGACUUCCAGAAGGGCCAUUUGAAGCCCACGCUCCAACCAUCAACCUCAGCUCUGCCUCCACCUGGAGCCACCCUUACCUGCUGGAGCAGAGCUCACUGUGGGCACCUGCUCACUCAUGGGUUUUUCUGUGUCCCAGGUCAGUGCUGCCAAGGAAUCCUGCUGUGUCCCCAGCAUGUGGCCCUGCCAGAAGUGGGGGACCAAACACAGACGUAGUACAGAUGCUCAUGUUUGAGUCAGGCAGGAGGGGCAGGAGUAGAAGGCUUCCAUGCACACAGGGCUUCCCUCCUGCCCACCACUCUCCCCACGGGUGGCCAUGUCCCGCCCCCUCGACCUCUGCUCUUCCAGGAACUUCCUCCCAUGCCCCACCACCUACUUAUUCCUGCCCCACUCAACACACGCUUCCCUUUCUCCUCAGUGUCCUCAGGGAAGUCUGUCUCCUCUGUGCCGGACAGCUUUAGUGUCAACUGGACACGCCUCGGUUGAGGGAGCCUCAAUUGGGGAAUUGCCUCCAUUGGACUGCCCUAUGGCCACUUCUGUGGGGAACCUUCUUGAUGGUUGAGUGAUGUGGGAGGGCCCAGCCCACUGUGGGUGGUGCCAUCUCUGGGCAUGUGGGCCCAUGUUGUAUAAGAAAGCAGGCUGAGCAGGGGCCAGGGGAGCAAGCCAGUAAGCGUGCUGGGAGACUGGUCCUCUUAAGGAUGUGCACGUCUCAAAUUUCAAAUCCCCAAAUCGGUUCCGUCAGCAUUUUGAACAUGGAGGAAAUAAGAGGCAGAAGCACAUCUGGUGGCCCCGCCUACUGGGGUUCCUGUGGGACUCCAACUUCCUUUUACUGUAGCCGCUUACCUUGGGGUCAUGCUGCGUUCCCUUGGGGUGAGGAGGCAACAGCAAAAUGUUCUAAAGACCUGAAGGAAACAAGGAAACGCCUCCUCACCCCCUUCCACACUCUUCUCCGUCUAGAUGUGGAGACUAUGGUGGCGGGGGAGGGGGGGUGCUGGGCCCUGCUGUUUUCAUCAGGUGAUGGCUCCUCAAGGACCAGGGCCCUGCUGUUUUUGUCACGUGAUGGCUCCUCAAGGACCAGGGCCCUGCUGUUUUUGUCACGUGAUGGCUCUUCAAGGACCAGGGCACUGCUGUUUUUGUCAUGUGAUGGCUCCUCAAGGACCAGGGCCCUGCUGUUUUUGUUAUGUGAUGGCUCCUCAAGGACCAGGGCCCUGCUGUUUUUGUUAUGUGAUGGCUCCUCAAGGACCAGGGCCCUGCUGUUUUCCUCAGGCAAUGGCUGCUCAAGGACCAGGGCCCUGCUGUUCUCAUCAGGUGAUGGUUCCUCAAGGACCAGGGCCCUGCUGUUCUCAUCAGGUGAUGGCGCCUCAAGGACCAGGGCCCUCCUGUUCUCAUCAGGUGAUGGCGCCUCAAGGACCAGGGCCCUCCUGUUUUCAUCAGGUGAUGGCGCCUCAAGGACCAGGGCCCUGCUGUUCUCGUCAGGUGAUGGCUGCUCAAGGACCAGGGCCCUGCUGUUC